AGUGAACGCUGGCGGUAGGCCUAACACAUGCAAGUCGAACGGCAGCACAGUAAGAGCUUGCUCUUACGGGUGGCGAGUGGCGGACGGGGGAGGAAUACAUCGGAAUCUACUUUUUCGUGGGGGAUAACGUAGGGAAACUUACGCUAAUACCGCAUACGACCUAAGGGUGAAAGCAGCGGAUCUUCGGACCUUGCGCGAUUGAAUGAGCCGAUGUCGGAUUAGCUAGUUGGCGGGGUAAAGGCCCACCAAGGCGACGGUCCGUAGCUGGUCUGAGAGGAUGAUCAGCCACACUGGAACUGAGACACGGUCCAGACUCCUACGGGAGGCAGCAGUGGGGAAUAUUGGACAAUGGGCGCAAGCCUGAUCCAGCCAUACCGCGUGGGUGAAGAAGGUCUUCGGGUUGUAAAGCCCUUUUGUUGGGAAAGAACAGCAGCAGGUUAAUCCCCCGCUGUUCUGACGGUACCCAAAGAAUAAGCACCGGCUAACUUCGUG
Molecule: ribosomal RNA, 492 nt
Filed under: uncultured bacterium
Lineage: Bacteria
Description: partial 16S ribosomal RNA
Rfam family: Bacterial small subunit ribosomal RNA
Source: RNAcentral